Molecule: long non-coding RNA, 644 nt
Organism: Carcharodon carcharias (great white shark)
Lineage: Eukaryota; Metazoa; Chordata; Chondrichthyes; Lamniformes; Lamnidae
Exons: 4
Source: RefSeq, a predicted model, not a curated record
UGUUUGCUCUGAGAUAUGUGACAUGAAAAUACAUGAUCCAGUGUUGCAGCAUGAAAGCAGGACCAUGUGACAAGUUUUGCGCUUGAGUGGGUGUGUGGCAUGGAAGGAGAACCCUAAGCCUGCAGCUGGAAGUGGACAUUAAGCAAAUAUCAAGUUGUUGACGCUGUUGUUUCAAAAUUGACCAGAACUGGCCAUACAGUGCACAGGGUUCCUGCUGUUACAGCCAGAAUCCGGUAUCCGUGGCCCCAACUGGGGACUCCUUUAGCUGCUCCUCUUCCCUCGCUCCCACUCAGCUCGCUCUGAAGUCUUGGGAUGACUACGCCAACAAACUUCUGCCACUAGAUGGAGGCUGGUCAAUCCGAAACAAGCAAGUGUGUCAGUGCCGACACCAGGUGGGUACCCAAUAUCAUCGAAGCAGAGUCACCCUCAAAUGCUUCCAAGCAAGGCAGCGACAGCCAACAGCCUGUACACCCCAACUGAUGGCAAGCUUUCCUCCUCCACCCCCUUCGCAUUCAGGGCCUAAGCACAGAGGAUGAGACAAAAGAAAUGAAGAGGAUGAGUAACUAUCUUGGAUAAAAUACAAGACCCCAACAAAAAGCGAUUGCACAAAAUGAACUGGGUGGAAAAUAUGUAAAUUUUGUAAA